UUUGGGGGAACAAAGUGGAAUUAACCCGUCCGAUAUGUACAUACUUCAUUAAUUCUUUGAGGUGGUAUUUUCCACUGUAAUCUACUCUUUUGAUCGUGUAUACUACAUAAAUCCCUUUCUUUUUCACUAGAUUGUUUGAGAAAAUAAUCAGGUAGAUCAUGUACAAUUAUUGUUUCUUUCUGGCCACCCUGUACAAUAUGUACCUAAAUAGUAGUAGAUACUGUUGUCACCGUUGGCACGAGGAAGAAAAUGAAAAUGCAUACAGUUGAGCAUAGGUGAAGCUCCCACCACAUGGAGUCCUCUGUGCCCCAAAGCAGGUGAAAACGGGUAAAGCCUAUGGUGGGGAGAUGGGACCUUAUCUACUACUUGUGUCCAGAUUGCCAAUGUGGACAAAGCCUUGCAGGGUACGUACCUGCAGCAGGAAGCGCUGCUGACAGAAUUAUGGGUAGAAGUUGGUUGAAUCAAGAUGGCGUAAGGAUGCUACUAGUAGUAGAAGUAACUAAGAUGAAUCUGCAGCAGGGCAAACUGAAACUGCCCGUUUUACAGUACCAUGGUGUAGUUAGCAGCUCAAUAAAAUGUAGAAAUAGCCCUUUUCAGUUUUCAUCAUUGUACCUUUGCAUAAUAUGUGAGUGAGUUUAAUUGAAAUUUGACAAAAUCCAAUGCCCUGUAUUUGUUA
This is a non-coding RNA of Coffea arabica (coffee), 676 nucleotides long. Lineage: Eukaryota; Viridiplantae; Streptophyta; Magnoliopsida; Gentianales; Rubiaceae. The record is from RefSeq and is a predicted model, not a curated record.